UACGUAGGGUGCAAGCGUUGUCCGGAAUUAUUGGGCGUAAAGAGCUCGUAGGCGGUCUGUCGCGUCGGAUGUGAAAACCCAGGGCUCAACCCUGGGCCUGCAUUCGAUACGGGCAGACUAGAGUUCGGUAGGGGAGACUGGAAUUCCUGGUGUAGCGGUGGAAUGCGCAGAUAUCAGGAGGAACACCAAUGGCGAAGGCAGAUCUCUGGGCCGUAACUGACGCUGAGGAGCGAAAGCAUGGGGAGCGAACAGG
This 253-nucleotide ribosomal RNA is filed under the name uncultured bacterium. RNAcentral's name for it is "partial 16S ribosomal RNA". It matches the Rfam family "Bacterial small subunit ribosomal RNA", at positions 524 to 776 of the family's 1533-position model. The record is from RNAcentral.